GAUGGAGCAAAUCCCAAAAAUAAACGUCCCAGUUCGGACUGUAGUCUGCAACCCGACUACACGAAGCUGGAAUCGCUAGUAAUCGCGGAUCAGAAUGCCGCGGUGAAUACGUUCCCGGGUCUUGUACACACCGCCCGUCACACCAUGGGAGUCAGUAACGCCCGAAGUCAGUGACCUAACCGAAAGGGAGGAGCUGCCGAAGGCGGGACGGAUGACUGGGGUGAAGUCGUAACAAGGUACC
RNAcentral lists this ribosomal RNA (241 nucleotides) under uncultured bacterium. Its description in RNAcentral is "partial 16S ribosomal RNA". It matches the Rfam family "Bacterial small subunit ribosomal RNA", at positions 1261 to 1500 of the family's 1533-position model. The record is from RNAcentral.